UCUGCCAGAGCAGCAUAUGCCCUUAACCACUGAGCCAUCACUCCAGCCCCUUGAUUGUUUUCAAUACAUAAAAUAAGCAAAUAGGACUGGAGAGAUGGCUCAGCGGUUAAGAGCACUGACUGCUCUCCCAGAGGUUC
RNAcentral lists this microRNA precursor (137 nucleotides) under Mus pahari (shrew mouse). RNAcentral's name for it is "microRNA 3473f (MGP_PahariEiJ_G0007497.1)". The stretch from base 26 to 107 matches the Rfam family "mir-3473 microRNA precursor family". Lineage: Eukaryota; Metazoa; Chordata; Mammalia; Rodentia; Muridae. The record is from RNAcentral.